This is a long non-coding RNA of Cavia porcellus (domestic guinea pig), 6926 nucleotides long. RefSeq lists it as uncharacterized. The record is from RefSeq and is a predicted model, not a curated record. NCBI's taxonomy places the organism in Eukaryota, Metazoa, Chordata, Mammalia, Rodentia, Caviidae. The transcript is spliced from 2 exons.
CCGAGUGACAGGCAUUGCUGCCUCGAUGUCUCUCUCUCUCUCUCCUAUGGGCACUGCGUCUGCCUACAUUAACCAUAAUCCUCUUCUGCUUACGUCACUUAUCCGGAUGUGAUGGUGACCCUGUUGUAUGCAUCUGUUUAACCUCUUCCUGUCUCAGCUCCCGCCCUCAGCCUAUAAAAGGUGUGAUUAUUUUCUGACUAAACCGGAGGCUUGAUUGGGUUACAUCAACUUGCCUUCGUCUCUUUUUGUCUCCCCCAUGUCUUUUAUUUAAUCCCCGUUUCUCCUCCAGGAGUUCCGAACUUGUUGAUCUGCAGGCCGGAUCAACCAAGUCCGCUAAGCCUCGCUCAAAAGAUUUUACAUUGGGUGAGCUAACCGCACCGGCCGACUGCGGAGAAGCCCGGCUAAUCAAGUUUGCGUGACGUCACUCCGAAGGCCCGGGAUUGGUGCUCGCGUGUAACUGAGGGGCUGGGAAUGGUGGGGGCGCUGCUGAGGCGGAAGUGGGAGGCUGGGUGUAGUUCGCCUGAGGCUUGUCUACCUCCCAUUCAUCUUGCGGGUGCCUUUGGCACCCUCGGGUAGGCUUGGGUAAGAGAGUGAUGGCGGCAACCUGUUCUUCCUCCUCUGCCAUGUCCGUCUCUCCAAGCCGUCCCUACAAAGCCCGCAGGCUUCGGUCACUGCCUCCUGCUCCCAAAGACCUGGAAAGGCUGUGACAGCUGCCGGCCCUAACGUCAGUGACUGCAUCAUGUGAUGCACACAUGCAGGACCCGCCUAGCCUUUAGCCGGCACGACGCAUUCAGAACCGAACUCGCUGCAACCUUUGCUUCUCUGCCUGCCUCUGAAAUUCCCAGGCUGUGGUUUGAGCUGAAAAAGCCCCUGCAUUGAGGAAAAGGGGACUGAGGCCCCGACAGGCAGAGGCUCGUCCUUGGGCACCCAGUAGGCCAUUUUCCUUUGGAAAUCAACACAAAAUGAAGCCACAGAAGCAAAAGAAAUCAUUUAACAGGAAAAGGAGGCAGGAACUUCCCAGGGGCAUUUCCAAGUCUGCUGUGCUCCACUGACGUUUAAGUCACAGCUGAACCCGGCACGACCAGCGCCAAAAUCAUGAAGCUCCUCCGGGAGCUCAGCUACCAUCAAUUUAACAAUCAGCUUAGCUGUUAACCCAUAGAUGUCCAGCCUCAUCCCAGGAGGUGGUCUCCGCUCUCCUAAGUAUGACUACACUCUAAUUAUGUGAUAAGAACAUAAUUAUGAGAACAGGAUGAUACCUAAUGCAUACCGACUGCACAACAUAUAUUAAGAAUAAGAAAGGUAAUUCAGUGCUUGUGGUUGAUGAGAAGAAAGAAAAUGGGUUAAUAUUAAGAGAAAAUAUUACCUUGUUCCUUUUUAGAAUGACUUAUCUUUCAACUAAGGUGUUUGCUUGUGGUUGAUUUACAGCCUAAAGUCUGGGCUAUCUUUUUUUUUUUUUUUUUCUGUCUUUUUCCUUUUUUAUCGGUACCGGGGAUCGAACUCACGACUGCCUGCUUUCAAGGCAGGUGCUUAUGCCGCUGAGCUAAACCCCCAGCCCCAAGUCUGGGCUAUCUUAAUCCACCUAAAGAUAAAGUGCUCUGUCCUCUCCUGAAAAGUUGGGAUAAGUUCUUAGCACUUGAGCUGGAGGACGUUUGAAGGACACCAGAAUGGCUGGCAGUUUAUUCCCUCCAGUCAGACCAUGCACUGGGCCCUGGCCACAGAGAUAAAUGAAACCCAGCAGUUGCUUUCCAGGAAAUCUCAGCUUAAUUGGGAAGCAAAUAAAAGGGAUAACACCAGAAUCUAAGCCCAGAAAGGAUGAAGAGCUUCGUGAUGGAAGGGACAAUCAGGAAAGGCCUUCCAGAGGAGGUGGCACAUAGAUCUAAUAUUAGACGGCAAGAAGAAGGCAUAUCUGAAAAAAGCAAGAAAAGACUGGUUGGCCGAGGAAAAACCAGGAACAAAGAUACAGAGUUACUGGCUGCAGUGGCUCACACCUGCAGUCCCAGUUACGGAGCAGGCCAGCGCAGGAGAAUUGAAAAGUCCAGGCCAGCCUAGACAAUUCGGUGAAAGCCUGUCUCCAAAUAAAAACUAGAAGGGAUUGGGGAUACAGUUCAGUGGUAGAGUGCCCCGGGGUUUGAUUCUCAGUGCUGCAAACAAACAAAUACAUAGAACUAUGAAAUAAUAUGUAGGAGCCCACUUCUGCAGCGCUAGCGCAGAGCUGGAGGAUAUGGAGUGAAAGUUUUGAUAACCACGGUACAGACAGAGGCCAAGUGGGCGAGUGGCUGAAUUACCUAAACGAUGAUCUGGCCCUUGUCCUAUAAGAAAUGUGAUACCUAAACAGGACUAUAAUAUGGUUUAGAAAGAUAAUUUUGGCAAAGGCAGGAAGAAUGAAAGUUUGAAGUUGGCCUGGACAAUUUAAUGAAAAACCAGUCUCAAAAUAAAAGUUUGCGGAUAUAAGGACAACGAAGGAAAGUAUUCUCUAGUACUCAGGGAAGAAAAACCUGUUCCUAGCAUUAUUCACACUAGCCCAAAAAAACAUAUAAAUGAAUGUCUAUCAGCUGGUGAACUGAUGAGUAAAAUGUGGUAUAUCCAUGCAAUAGAAUAUUAUUCAGCCACGAAAGGAAUUCAGUCCUGAUACAUGCUGCGACAUGGAUGAGCCUUGAAAACAACACUAAAUAGAAAAAACCACACACAAAAGGCCAUAUAUUUGUGCUGCAUGUCCAAAAUAUGUAAUCUACAGAGCUGGAAUGUAAAUUAGGGCUGGGGAUAUAGCUCAACAGACACAAGUGCCUGCUUGGCAAGCACAGAGUCUUGAGUUCAAUUCCUGGUACCAAAAACAAAACAAAAUAGAAUGUAGAUUAGUGGUUGCCAGGGAGUAGAAUGCUGGCAAAAAUAGAGACCGAAGUUAGACCUGAGUUUCUGAAAUUGGUGGUGAUGGUGUCACUCGGCUGGGUGUGAGAGGCUGAAAUAAGGAACCUGUCUCACCCUUUUAAGAGCCUAAAUUUACAGGUUUAUUGCAAAGUGACUUCUGAAAAUUUUUAAAAAGUGAGGUUCUUUUUUUUUUUUUGGAAAGGAAAAAGGCUUGAUUAAGUGUCCUGAGGGCUGGGGAUUUAGUUCAGUGGUGUAAGCACCUGCCUGCUGAUCCCCGGUACCAAAAAACAAUCGAAAAGUUCGAUUUUCUUUACCUUGUUUUUAUUUCUCUUACCUUACCUCAUUUCUACCCCUCAGACUGUGGUCCUUUUUUUUUUUUCUUUUGGUCCCUUAUUUUUAAGGGGUUGCAGAAGGCCUAAUGGCCUGACUUUUUAUGCAACUGCUUCAUGGGUAAGCAGGGGCAUUGAUCCUGCCUCACUAGACACUGAAAAUCUCAUCUUUACAAUCUAUGAGAGGCAUAGAAAUAUCUGGUUCUGUCUUCUUGAUCUGUUCUGCCAGUCUGUUUCAUUGGAGAAUGGCAAAAGGGUUAAGAAAAUACCAAAUUGUCUGGCUUUGAUGUUAGGCUGGUAAUCAAAACUUUUUAUGGCUAUAAAUUGUAGGUGCAGCUGGCGACUACAAGCAGGGGGUGGUGCAGAACUUGCCCCCCAUUUUAAUAUUUAGCCUAGCUUUUAACUUAACAUUAUUAUUGUUAUUCUUUCUAUAUAAAAUUUGGUUUACUUUUCUAAAAGGAGGGCCACUAAAGAGAAGAAUGUUCCCAUGCUCCCAAGGAAGCUGUGUGAUCCUGGAAAAUGACACAGCUGUAUAGGAAAAACUAAGAGGCUCUGUCCAUGGCCUCAAAAGCAUUGCCUUCUUUUAGUACAACAUAGACUUACUGAUGCCUGUCCCUGGAGUUCAAAAUGUCCCAGCUUAGGAGGUGAGUGAUCUCUGGAGUUGUAGGAUCCUUUCGAGAGGUUCCCUCAUGUCCUGUGUCCUUGUUGACCUUAGAGGCCCAGGACCAAAAUAUUGGCUGUCUUUUUAGCCCAGGUAUCUUUUCUAGCUUUGGUCAUCAAGCCUUACUUGUUGAACACCCAGAAGGUCAGUUAUACCAGUAUUGAAGUGAGAGUAGUAGGCUUAACUAUCGUGAUCUCAUGUGGACAUCAGACACUUUGAAAUAUGAAGGACAUCCAAAAAAAACCCUGCUACUUUUCCAAAUUAAUCAUGAUUGUCUUAGAAGUCAAAUUCCUAUAGAAUGUCUUUGUUUCUUUUGAGACAGGGUCUCACUUUGUAGUGCAGGCUGCCCUUGAGCUCAUUAUAUAGUCCAGAUGGGCCUUAAACUCACAUCAAUGAGAUCAUGCCUCAGCCUUCGGAGUGCUGGGAUGUACACAUGCCACAGAGAUGGAUUCCUAAAACAGAUUCAAACAGAUAUCCACAAGAUUAAAAAUUCCCUUGAAAGUAUGAGCCAAUGUGAGGACAGAAUAUCAUAUAUAGAAGACAGAAUUACAGUUAGCAAUCAUAAAAUGUUUUUAAAAUAGCAAAAGAUCAUGAAAAAUCAAUCCAACAGCUACCGGAUAAUGCAAAGAAGGAUAGCACAAGGUGGUCAGGGUCAGUGAAAAAGCAAGAGAGAGCACAAAUGACCUGUUUGUCAAGCAAGCAACUUUCCAGGCAGGGAAAAAGAAUUUGACAUACACAUAAGUGAUAUAUACAGACUCCAACUUGUGAUAAUAAAAAAAUCUAUACCAAGGCAUAUUGUAGUCAAGAUUCUAGAAAUUCAAUACAAGAACUGAGUAUUAAAAGCUGUUAGAGUUGUGCAUGGUGGCACAUGCCUGUAGUUCCAGCACUCAAGAGGCUGAGCCUGGAGGAUGACUGUGAAUUCAGGGCCAAGCUGGGCUACACAAUGAGACCUUGUCCAUAAAUAAAUAAAUAAAUAAAUAAACAAACAAACACUGUUAGAGGAAAUAAAUAAAUCAUCUAUAAAGGAAAAAUCAGAAUCAUAGCAGACUUUUCAACACAAACCCUCAAGUCAAGGAGAGCUUGAGUAAAGUAUUUCAAAUUUUGAAAAAAACAACUUCCAACCUAGACUGAUGUACCACACAAAACUAUCUUUCAAAAUUAAUGGAGAAAUAAGAUACUUCCAUGGCAAAGAACACCUGAAGAAAUUCAUGACCACCGAACUAGUGCUCCACAAUGUCCUAAAAGAGAUGAUACGGACUACAACUUCAUGAAUCCCAACAGAAUGAAUCCACCUGGCAAGGCAAACAACUAAACAGAGGGGAAAAAAAUGAAGCCAACAAGAGGAAAAUAACAUGACAAACAUAGUCAAUACAUGUCAGUUAUAACCAUCAGUAAAUAGUUUCAAUUCACCAAUCAAAAGAAACAGAAUGGCAGGAUGCAUCAGGAAGUAAGAGCCAACAAUAUGCUGCAUACAAGAAAUACAUUUAAUUCAAAAAGAAAUUCAUAGACUGAAAGUCAAAAGAAGGGAAACAGUACUCCACAGGACAGAAAAAUGGAAAAAACCAAGCGUAGCUAUUUUAUUCAAAGACAAAGUGGAUUUCAAGCCAAGACUGAUUAAGAGAGACAAAACAGGUCACUACAUCCUUGUAAAGGGAACAAUUCAAGAGGAAGAGAUAACAACCAUAAAAUAUAUGCAACAAAUAGCAGCAGACUCAACUGUUAAACAUUAAACAUGUUAAUGGACAAUGAAAAAUUAAAUAAAUAUAAUUAUAAUGUGAGAUGCUGAUACUUUGCUGUUACAAACAGACACAUCAACGUGGCAAAAAAUCAACAAAGAAUUGUCAGAACUGAACCAAACUUCUGAACAAAUGUACUUAGUAAAUGUCCACCCCACAACAUCAGAAUAUACAUUCUUCAACAGCAUGUGGGAUGUUCUCCAAAAUAGAACACAUACUAACUUAUAGAACAUGCUUAAGUAAAUGCCAGAAAUGAGACCAAAGUGCAGUGAAAUUGGAAAUCAAUGACAAAGAAACCACAAGAACUUCAUACACACACACAAAUCAAAUAACACCUUACUGAACAACUACUGAGCCAAAGAUGAAAUUAAAGAAGAAAUUAAACAGUAUCUACAAUUAAAUGAUAAUGCUAAUACCACAUACAGAACUUAUGGGACACAAUGAAAGGAGUUCUAUGAGGGAAAUUUAUAGCAGUGAAUUUGCAUAUCAGAAAAAAAGAGUGAGGGGAGUCCGGGAAGAUGACAAAUGUAAGCAGCAGAGAAAGUGCCUCUCUGAGAGCUGCCAUCCACAUGCUGGAAAAGAGCAAUGUGACGAAGACAUGAGGGAGGGAGGCGGGUUUCCUGGACCCAGAAAGAAUCUGAAGUGGGGACUGAAGCCCAUGGAGAGAGUAAAGAGAGAAACUUUUAGGAAGAAGGAUAUAGCCAGUGGUGCCUUCUCCCUGAGAUGGGACCCACUGCAUGACAAGAGAGGUUCAAACUGUGGAUGCAUGGCCACGGUGAUGGUGAUGGCUGGUGACCCCGGAAGCCUCUGCAGAGAAACACAGAGUGGAGGGAAGCCGUGGAUGUGAAGGACUACAUUGACUGGGGGUGAGUGCAGGGGUCUUGCUCUUGCUGUGGGAGAAAACAACUGACCUGGAGCCACCUUGGAGAUGGGCCUGAGAUCAGAACACAGAACUGCAGCUAGAUCCCUCUGGUGGCUGCCAGUACGGCCCAAGCCUGUGGAAGGUGCUUGGAAGAAGGUCAGCCAAAUGUGACUGACUAGUCACGAUCAGGAAGUGCAGGCCGACCGAGAGUAUACACUACCCCACCAAAAAGCUACUUCUGGCUUGCUGGGAUUGAUUGACACAAAUCAGGACUCUGUCUCCACAGGUUGUCUGCCAGUGAAAGCAGAGACAAACCAAACCUGGACAAACCUGGAAGCAGACUUUUUUUUGUUUUCUUCCCUUUCUCUCACAUUUGUCUUUGGUUUUUAGUUUUUGAGUUUUUUUCUUAUCUUUAUUUCUCCUUCAUUGUUUGAUCUUAUUUUUAUAUAAGUAUAAACAUGGUUUCUCCCCUC